GCAGAUGAUCACACCCACCUUGGGUUUGGAAUGAAUGGAUAUAACUUUGGUGUUAUGAGCUAUUUCUGACGUUGGUGUUUUUUUAAGGGGAAACACUCAACAGGGGAGCCAUUAAAAGGGGACUAGGUGGAGGUUGCACAGAGGAGAUCCCUAGAAGACUUCUCCCCCACAAGCCCGUUUGUCUCCAGUUCUCUCAGGGCCCCUCCAUCACAUGAACAGGAACCAACUUCCCAGGUAGAGCUGUCUUCUUUCUUCAGGUCUGCCCUCAAGUAGUACCUGCCUAGUUCAAUGACAGGACAGAGCAAUUAGUAUUUCUUGUAGACUUGGCGACGGGCUAUCUGUCCCUUCACUGAGUGGCCAGAUCAGUAGACUGAGCUUGCCUUGGUUAUGUCCAUACUUCAUUCUGUGUCAGGCUACUUAAACACCGUGCUCUUUGAAAACCACUAAGGCCAUGAAAGAAGAUUGAGCUCAUCUCAGCCCAGGAAGAGACCCAGAGACCAAAGGACUAGACUGCCCAAGCCCAGCGUUCUCUGCUCUAGACCAGAAACAGAACCAUCUCAGGAUCCUUGCGCCCAUCCGCACUCACCAGCACCUUGCCUUCCUCAGUCUUUGCCCUGCUCGGUUGGAUUGGAGCAGACUUGGAAAGCUCUGGGUUUUUACAACAGUAGUGCUUUAUUCACUGCAGAAGAUCUGGGCUGGUUCUCUGACUUCCUCAGUUCUUAAAUCUCCUGGGAGAUGGGUUCACCUGUUGCCUGAGUGGGGCAUACCCAGACUAUCAGGGUGGGUCCCUCUUCCACCGCAGCUCCCUUCCGGAGGGGUCAAC
This 823-nucleotide long non-coding RNA is filed under the name Equus caballus (horse). Its description in RNAcentral is "lncRNA (ENSECAG00000055538.1)". The record is from RNAcentral. Lineage: Eukaryota; Metazoa; Chordata; Mammalia; Perissodactyla; Equidae.